GGCCGGGCGGGCCUCCUGGGAACGCCCCUGAGAAAUGAGCUCAUGCUGCACGCGCGCGCUCCUAGGGCCCUGCUGCCCGGCGCUCACUGAAGGGGCCCCGAAAUCAGGAAAUACAACAUAAUUUUGCAGUAUUUGAGACUCCAGAAAACACAGAAGCAUUUUGAUUCCUUGAGGGCCAUGAUGGAGAUCAUGAAAAUUUCCAGUAGAAGGUGGAGGUGACCUGGCUUACUGGGGCUGGAUCAACAAUGAGUACCAGAAGUGUUCAAAGACAAGACACCUCAACAGCUGACAUCCGUGUGGCUGCACAUAAGACUUGUUUUUAAGCCCAUAUAAAACCCUGUCUAAAGAAUCUUAGAACUUAUGGAACCUUGCAAGGAGCUGGAGGUCCUGCAUCAGUAGGCAAAGGCAGGAGGCAUUGAAAUGUGGGUUAUAAAACCAUUUUUAAUAAAUUGAUAAUUGUGGCUUUUAGUUCCUAAAGGAUAAGAUGUAAGAAUUGAAUCUGCUGUUCCCUUACUUCAGUGGUUCCCAUUUCCACACCCUUAUCUGUGUGAGCAUUUCACAAAACUAAGGGUACUCUGAUGGUUGUUUUGAAAUACAGGGCAUCUUGGGUUUUUUUUAUAACAUGACCCAUUAAUGCAGGUUAAAUACAAUUCUUCAUCUGGUGUUCAACCAAAGAAACAGUGGUAUGUUCCAAUACUGGGAGAAAAACUAGCUGAACUGAAUUUAUUGAUAUUUUAGGUCCUGUAUAGGGUUAUUUUGAAUGUGUGUGAUUUGCACCUAAAAUGCUGUUUUUAGAACCUAAACCUUGUCAAAGAGGAAACUCCAAGGUUUUACUUUUCCUAUAAUGCUUAAUAGUUUAUAAUGAACAUUAUAGUAUUGAACACAUACUGAAACCUGUGAGGUAGACUAGACAGAUAAUAUUACUUCAUUUUAUAGAUUUUUAAUUGGAGACAAAAAGAACUAUAAUUAGCUUUCCUGGCUCAAUUUUACCACACUGAUCAAAUAUAUUCAUUGAGCAGCCACAGGUAUAUGGCAUUUCAUUAUGUUCUUGGAAUAAUAUUUUUAAAAAUGCAUAAAAGUAUGCUCUGAGCAGGUAAGAGAAGUCUCAUAAAAUGAGAAUAGUUUAUAACCUGACAUCCUUUUUUAAAUAAAAUUUUCAUGGACCUU
Myotis brandtii (Brandt's bat) is the source of this 1167-nucleotide long non-coding RNA. RefSeq lists it as uncharacterized. The record is from RefSeq and is a predicted model, not a curated record. The transcript is spliced from 2 exons. Lineage: Eukaryota; Metazoa; Chordata; Mammalia; Chiroptera; Vespertilionidae.